CCUUACGACCAGGGCUACACACGUGCUACAAUGGCGCAUACAAAGAGAAGCGAACUCGCGAGAGCAAGCGGACCUCAUAAAGUGCGUCGUAGUCCGGAUUGGAGUCUGCAACUCGACUCCAUGAAGUCGGAAUCGCUAGUAAUCGUGGAUCAGAAUGCCACGGUGAAUACGUUCCCGGGCCUUGUACACACCGCCCGUCACACCAUGGGAGUGGGUUGCAAAAGAAGUAGGUAGCUUAACCUUCGGGAGGGCGCUUACCACUUUGUGAUUCAUGACUGGGGUGAAGUCGUAACAAGGUAACCGUAGGGGAACCUGCGGUUGGAUCACCUCCUUACCUUAAAGA
Molecule: ribosomal RNA, 343 nt
Filed under: Klebsiella aerogenes
Lineage: Bacteria; Pseudomonadati; Pseudomonadota; Gammaproteobacteria; Enterobacterales; Enterobacteriaceae
Description: bacterial SSU rRNA
Rfam family: Bacterial small subunit ribosomal RNA
Source: RNAcentral